Molecule: transfer RNA, 87 nt
Filed under: Didymella heteroderae
Lineage: Eukaryota; Fungi; Ascomycota; Dothideomycetes; Pleosporales; Didymellaceae
Rfam family: tRNA
About the family: Transfer RNA (tRNA) molecules are approximately 80 nucleotides in length. Their secondary structure includes four short double-helical elements and three loops (D, anti-codon, and T loops).
Source: Rfam by way of RNAcentral
GGGCAAUUGGUUUAGUGGUAUAAUUUUCCCUUAGCACCUGUGCUACUCGACUGGGAAAGGUCCUGGGUUCGAUUCCCAGAUUGUCCA